CCUACGGGGGGCAGCAGUAGGGAAUCUUGCACAAUGGACGAAAGUCUGAUGGAGCAACGCCGCGUGAGUGAAGAAGGGUUUCGGCUCGUAAAGCUCCGUUGGUAGUGAAGAAAGAUAGAGGUAGUAACUGGCCUUGAUUUGACGGUAAUUACUUAGAAAGUCAAGGCUAACUACGUGCCAGCCGCCGCGGUCAUACGGAGGUGGCAAGCGUUGUCCGGAUUUGUUGGGAGUAAAGCGAGUGCAGGCGGUUCGAUAAGUCUGAUGUGAAAGCCGUCGGCUCAACCGGAGAAGUGCAUCAGAAACUGGUGAUCUUGAGUGCAGGAGAGGCGGGUGGAACUCCAUGUGUAGCGGUGAAAUGCUUAGAUAUCUGGAAGAACCCCGGUGGCGAAGGCAGCUCUCUGGUCUGCAACUGACGCUGAGGCUCGAAAGCGUGGGUAGCGAACAGGAUUAGAUACCCUUGUAGUC
Molecule: ribosomal RNA, 465 nt
Filed under: uncultured bacterium
Lineage: Bacteria
Description: partial 16S ribosomal RNA
Rfam family: Bacterial small subunit ribosomal RNA
Source: RNAcentral